AGAGCAUGCCUGAACAGAAAGAACAUUUGGCUGAGUGGGAGAGGGUAUACUUGUAACACUUGAUUUGGAUCUGUUUGGAUAAAUAACUUAAUAAUUAACGUCAGCCCUCUCCCACUCAGCCAAAUGUUUUUUUCUGUUCAGGCGUGCUCA
This 150-nucleotide microRNA precursor is filed under the name Medicago truncatula (barrel medic). RNAcentral's name for it is "miR5740 stem-loop (mtr-MIR5740)". Lineage: Eukaryota; Viridiplantae; Streptophyta; Magnoliopsida; Fabales; Fabaceae. The record is from miRBase by way of RNAcentral.